Molecule: ribosomal RNA, 472 nt
Filed under: uncultured bacterium
Lineage: Bacteria
Description: partial 16S ribosomal RNA
Rfam family: Bacterial small subunit ribosomal RNA
Source: RNAcentral
GACGAACGCUGGCGGCGUGCUUAACACAUGCAAGUCGAACGCCGAAGCUUGGUGCUUUCGCUGGGUGGAUGAGCGGCGAACGGGUGAGUAAUACGUGAGUAACCUGCCCUUGACUCUGGGAUAAGCACGGGGAACUGGGUCUACUACUGGAUACGACAUGCCACUGCAGGGUGGUGUGUGGAAAGGGUUUUACUGGUUUUGGAUGGGCUCACGGCCGAUCAGCUUGUUGGUGGGGUAAUGGCCUACCAAGGCGACGACGGGUAGCCGGCCUGAGAGGGUGACCGGCCACCCUGGGACUGAGACACGGCCCAGACUCCUACGGGAGGCAGCAGUGGGGAAUAUUGCACAAUGGGCGGAAGCCUGAUGCAGCGACGCCGCGUGAGGGAUGACGGCCUUCGGGUUGUAAACCUCUUUCAGCACGGAAGAAGCGAGAGUGACGGUACGUGCAGAAGAAGCGCCGGCUAACUACGUG